Non-coding RNA from Bubalus bubalis (water buffalo), 1143 nucleotides. The record is from the annotation of a RefSeq genome assembly. Lineage: Eukaryota; Metazoa; Chordata; Mammalia; Artiodactyla; Bovidae.
ACCUGCAUAGCGAGGCGGUCACUACCAAAGCCAUGAGUGUCUAAAUUUCUAUUCUUGAUUUAGACAGAAGGCACAGAUCCAUGAGACUGUGGACCAUGGGCCAGUAGGAGGCACUGUGGGUCCAUGGUAAACAGGGUGUGCUGGGAGGGGUUGAGAGCCACCCUGGAGAGGGCAGCUUAAGGGAACCUUGGCUACAUGCCUGCAUCAGGGAGCAGGUUUGAGUUCCUUGAGUGGUCCAGACACAUGGACCCAGCACAGACUCCCCACUGCCCAGGGGAGUGGGGACUUGCCUGGAGCCUCAGGAUGUGUCCAGGGGGCCGUCUCCUGCAGCAGCAUGGGGAGUGGAGGGUGAGGGAUUAGUGUGGCUGGUGAGGGCUGGGUGAUGAGUGUCAGGCAGGGACAGGAAGAGAAGAAAAAGGCAUGUGAUGGGCAUAUGGGGACAUGGGGACAGUGCUUACCUCACACCCACCCUUUGCUGAGGGGCUGUGCAGGACAGGGAAGGGCAUAGAGGAGUCCGCCAUGGAUCCUGCCAAGGGGUCCAGUGGAUCAGGAAACAGCCUGCAGAGACACAGAGCAGUGACAUCAUAGGCAAACGCUCCAAUCAGGGAAGCAGGAGGGUCAGCACUUUAGACCACUCUCCCCAGGAGUCCCACCUCCUGCCAGCAGUGGUCUUGGGUUCCUGAUGCUGCCAUGGGCUCCAGGCUCCUCUGCUGUGUGACUCUCUGCCUUCUGGGAGCAGGCCUGGUGGAUUCUGGAGUCACCCAGACUCCCAAAUACCUGAUCAAAUCAAGAAAGCAGCAAGCGACUCUGAGAUGUUCCCCUCACUCUGGACACUUCUCUGUGUACUGGUACCAACAGGCCCCGGGCCAGGGCCCCCAGUUCCUCGUUCAGUAUUACAACCAGAAAGUGAGUGGAGAAUCUCACCUCCUGGAUCGAUUCUCAGGAAAACAGUUCAGUGACUCUCACUCUGAGCUGAACUUGAGCUCGUUGGAGCUGACGGACUCUGCCAUGUAUCUCUGUGCCAGCAGCCAAGACACAGACCUGCAUGAGCAGAUGCCUCUGGGACAAAAACACUCCUACCCCAGCUCAGGAAGUGGUUGCCAGGGUGUCAGUUGCCAGCCAGCGAGACCCAGACCCAGGUAG